RNAcentral lists this ribosomal RNA (440 nucleotides) under uncultured bacterium. RNAcentral's name for it is "partial 16S ribosomal RNA". It matches the Rfam family "Bacterial small subunit ribosomal RNA", at positions 338 to 795 of the family's 1533-position model. The record is from RNAcentral.
CCUACGGGUGGCAGCAGUGGGGAAUAUUGCACAAUGGGGGAAACCCUGAUGCAGCGACGCCGCGUGAGUGAAGAAGUAUUUCGGUACGUAAAGCUCUAUCAGCAGGGACGAAAAUGACGGUACCUGACUAAGAAGCCCCGGCUAACUACGUGCCAGCAGCCGCGGUAAUACGUAGGGGGCAAGCGUUAUCCGGAUUUACUGGGUGUAAAGGGAGAGUAGACGGCAGCGUAAGUCUGGAGUGAAAUCCCAGGGCUUAACCAUGGAACUGCUUUGGAAACUGUGCAGCUAGAGUGCAGGAGAGGUAAGCGGAAGUCCUAGUGGAGCGGUGAAAUGCGUAGAUAUUAGGAGGAACACCAGUGGCGAAGGCGGCUUACUGGACUGUAACUGACGUUGAGGCUCGAAAGCGUGGGGAGCAAACAGGAUUAGAUACCCGUGUAGUC